AGGUGUUGUUGGGUAGGGGAGCGUUCUGUAAGCCUGUGAAGGUGGCCUGUGAGGGUUGCUGGAGGUAUCAGAAGUGCGAAUGCUGACAUAAGUAACGAUAAAGCGGGUGAAAAGCCCGCUCGCCGGAAGACCAAGGGUUCCUGUCCAACGUUAAUCGGGGCAGGGUGAGUCGACCCCUAAGGCGAGGCCGAAAGGCGUAGUCGAUGGGAAACGGGUUAAUAUUCCCGUACUUGGUGUUACUGCGAAGGGGGGACGGAGAAGGCUAUGUUGGCCGGGCGACGGUUGUCCCGGUUUAAGCGUGUAGGUGUGUGUUCCAGGUAAAUCCGGUUCACUUUAACACUGAGGCGUGAUGACGAGGCACUACGGUGCUGAAGCAACAAAUGCCCUGCUUCCAGGAAAAGCCUCUAAGCAUCAGGUAACAUCAAAUCGUACCCCAAACCGACACAGGUGGUCAGGUAGAGAAUACCAAGGCGCUUGAGAGAACUCGGGUGAAGGAACUAGGCAAAAUGGUGCCGUAACUUCGGGAGAAGGCACGCUGACACGUAGGUGAAGUGAUUUACUCAUGGAGCUGAAGUCAGUCGAAGAUACCAGCUGGCUGCAACUGUUUAUUAAAAACACAGCACUGUGCAAACACGAAAGUGGACGUAUACGGUGUGACGCCUGCCCGGUGCCGGAAGGUUAAUUGAUGGGGUCAGCGCAAGCGAAGCUCCUGAUCGAAGCCCCGGUAAACGGCGGCCGUAACUAUAACGGUCCUAAGGUAGCGAAAUUCCUUGUCGGGUAAGUUCCGACCUGCACGAAUGGCGUAAUGAUGGCCAGGCUGUCUCCACCCGAGACUCAGUGAAAUUGAACUCGCUGUGAAGAUGCAGUGUACCCGCGGCAAGACGGAAAGACCCCGUGAACCUUUACUAUAGCUUGACACUGAACAUUGAGCCUUGAUGUGUAGGAUAGGUGGGAGGCUUUGAAGUGUGGACGCCAGUCUGCAUGGAGCCGACCUUGAAAUACCACCCUUUAAUGUUUGAUGUUCUAACGUGGACCCGUAAUCCGGGUUGCGGACAGUGUCUGGUGGGUAGUUUGACUGGGGCGGUCUCCUCCUAAAGAGUAACGGAGGAGCACGAAGGUUGGCUAAUCCUGGUCGGACAUCAGGAGGUUAGUGCAAUGGCAUAAGCCAGCUUGACUGCGAGCGUGACGGCGCGAGCAGGUGCGAAAGCAGGUCAUAGUGAUCCGGUGGUUCUGAAUGGAAGGGCCAUCGCUCAACGGAUAAAAGGUACUCCGGGGAUAACAGGCUGAUACCGCCCAAGAGUUCAUAUCGACGGCGGUGUUUGGCACCUCGAUGUCGGCUCAUCACAUCCUGGGGCUGAAGUAGGUCCCAAGGGUAUGGCUGUUCGCCAUUUAAAGUGGUACGCGAGCUGGGUUUAGAACGUCGUGAGACAGUUCGGUCCCUAUCUGCCGUGGGCGCUGGAGAACUGAGGGGGGCUGCUCCUAGUACGAGAGGACCGGAGUGGACGCAUCACUGGUGUUCGGGUUGUCAUGCCAAUGGCACUGCCCGGUAGCUAAAUGCGGAAGAGAUAAGUGCUGAAAGCAUCUAAGCACGAAACUUGCCCCGA
Molecule: ribosomal RNA, 1604 nt
Filed under: Salmonella enterica
Lineage: Bacteria; Pseudomonadati; Pseudomonadota; Gammaproteobacteria; Enterobacterales; Enterobacteriaceae
Also listed under: 2 other names
Description: partial 23S ribosomal RNA
Rfam family: Bacterial large subunit ribosomal RNA
Source: RNAcentral